AACGAACGCUGGCGGCGUGCCUAACACAUGCAAGUCGAACGAGAAAGGGGCUUCGGCUCCGAGUAAAGUGGCGCACGGGUGAGUAACACGUGGGUAACCUGCCUCUAAGAUUGGGAUAACUCGUCGAAAGAUGAGCUAAUACCGAAUAAGACCACAGUUCCCGCGGGAACAGGGGUCAAAGGUGGCCUCUGCUUGCAAGCUAUCACUUAGAGAUGGGCCUGCGCACCAUUAGCUAGUUGGUAGGGUAACGGCCUACCAAGGCAAAGAUGGUUAGCUGGUCUGAGAGGAUGAUCAGCCACACUGGAACUGAGACACGGUCCAGACUCCUACGGGAGGCAGCAGUGGGGAAGAUUGCGCAAUGGGCGAAAGCUUGACGCAGCAACGCCGCGUGAGUGAUGAAGGCCUUCGGGUCGUAAAGCUCUGUCGGGAGGAACGAAUGCUCCUGAGGUUAACAGCCUCGGGAGGUGACGGUACCUUCAAAGGAAGCACCGGCUAACUCUGUG
This 503-nucleotide ribosomal RNA is filed under the name uncultured bacterium. Its description in RNAcentral is "partial 16S ribosomal RNA". It matches the Rfam family "Bacterial small subunit ribosomal RNA", at positions 29 to 507 of the family's 1533-position model. The record is from RNAcentral.